GGCCCGUUAGCUCAAUGAGUUGAGCGCGGUGCUGACAACAAUGACAACACUGAGGUUGUGGGUUUGAUUCCCGCUUGGUCCC
RNAcentral lists this transfer RNA (82 nucleotides) under Apaloderma vittatum (bar-tailed trogon). It matches the Rfam family "tRNA". From Rfam's summary of the family: Transfer RNA (tRNA) molecules are approximately 80 nucleotides in length. Their secondary structure includes four short double-helical elements and three loops (D, anti-codon, and T loops). Lineage: Eukaryota; Metazoa; Chordata; Aves; Trogoniformes; Trogonidae. The record is from Rfam by way of RNAcentral.